AGAAGUGACGCUGUGCAUGGGGCCUGGCACCGGAUGGGGACUGGCCUGGUAUAAAUUUCUCUCACUCUCUGGUUGCAGGCCUCAGCAAAUCAAGGUGAAGGCACCCACUUCAUCCUCUGUUUCUUUACUCUGUUCCCAAGGGACUCUAAAGGCCCAGCUGCUGCUCCAGUCACACCAUAGGCAAGCAGGGUCUGAGGGAAGACCAUGGCAAAGGGAGCCACCAGCAAGAGCAACCAUUGCCUGAUUCUGAGCCUUUUCAUUCUGCUGAGCUAUCUGGGGACCAUACUGGCAGAUGGUGAGAGAAGAUGAGAUAAGAUUUACAACCAUCUGGAGAACACUAGAUGCUCUGUCAGUCAAGAGUCCUUGUCCCUUUAUCCUAGGGAGCUCUGAACACAUGAGGGACCUGUUGAUUUUCUGCAUCAGUGUCUCAAUUCUGGAUACCUUGUCUGACUGUGAUAUGUCCAUCUAAUACCCUAGUGGGAAAUAGCUCAUCUCAUGAUGCCUUCCUGAGGCCUGAUGGUACUUCCAAUAGCCCGCAAACCAAAUGCCACUCUGUCCCAGAGCCCAUUAUCACCUCAGGAUCCAGGCUGGCUUCUACCCAAGCAAGGUGAUGCUCCAAUUACAAACUGCUCUGGGCCAUUUCCUAGGCUUAACUCCUCUUGCUGAUAGAUUGUUCCAGGCUAUGGAACACUAGAAGGAAAUCCAGUCUUGCUCCUCAUGGGUGUAUUAUCUCAGAAUGCCUUCAACCUACAAGAAUAGAGAUGAACAGGUGUAACUGAGACUCUGUGACCUACAAAUACUUCAAUUUUGACAUCAUUGCUGUAUUAGUUAUUUUCUAUUGCUAUGAUAAAACACCAUAAAGAAGGAAGAUGUUGUGGGCAGAUAGCUUCAAAGGGACAAGAGUCCAUCACCAUCACAGCAGGGAGCACAGCAGCAGGCAGGCAUGAUGGCUGGGGCAGCGAGCUGAGAGCUCACAUCAUAAACCUCAAGCAAGAUGCAGAGAUGGAGAAAUGGGAAUUGCAUAGGUUUUUGGGUUUCAGAGCCACAUUCCCAAUGAUCCACUUCCUUAAGUAAGAUUACACCUCCUUAAUCUAUCUAAACAGCUGCUACCACGUGGGUAGUCAAAGACCAGAGCCUAUGCAGGAGAGUUUCCUUUAUUUUUAUUUAUCUUUUUAUGAAUUAUUUUAUUAAUUUACAUUUCAAAUGAUAUCCCCCUUCCUGGUUAUACCUCCACAAACCCCUCAUCCUACCCUCCCUCUCUUCUUUCCCCUUUGCCUCUAUGAGGGGUCUCCUCCACCCACUCAUCCACUCCUGCCUCACUGCUCUAGCAUCCCCCUAUGCUGGGGUAUCAAGCCUCCUCAGGAAAAGGGGCCUCCCUUCCCAUUGAUGAUAUAAGGCUAUUCUCUGCUCCAUAUGUAUCUGGAGCCAUGGUUCCCUCCAUGUAUACUCUUUGGUUGAUGGUUUAGGUCCUGGGAGCUCUGGGGGGUUCAGUUAGUUGAUAUUGUUCUUCCUAUGGGAUUGCAACCCCCUUCCUCUCCUUCAGUCCUUCCCCUAGAACUUCCAUUUGGGUCCCUGAGCUCAGUCUGAUGGAUGGCUGUGAGUAUCUGCAUCUGUAUUUUUCAAGUGCUGGUAGAAUCUCUCAGGGAAGAGCCAUACCAGGCUCCUGACAGCAAGUACUUCUAGGCAUCAGCAAUAGUGUAGGGGUUUGGUGUUUGCAGAUGAGAUGGAACCCUAGGCAAGACAAUUUCUGAUGGCCUUUCCUUCAGUCUCUGUUCCAUUUUUUGUCCCUGUCUUUCCAUUGUACAGGAACAUUUCUGGGUUAAAAAUUUUGUGAUGUGUGGGUGGCUCCAUCCCUCAACAGGGUCCAGUUUCAAUCUACUGGAGGUGGUCUGUACAGGUUGUAUCUCCUCGUUGUUGGGUAUUUUUGCUAAUGUCAUCCCCAUUGGGUCUUGGGAGUCUCUCACUUCCCUGGAGUCUAGGACCAGUUCCUCAUUACCCACUGCUACAUGCUUCUAUUCAAUUUAAUGAUCCUUUGAACUUCUCUCCUGUCCCUUCCAAAGACCGAUCUUGCUCCCUUUUUUCUCUCCCCCUCCUUUUUCUCCCAUGUCCCUUUCUCCCUCUAUCUCCUGUGAUUGUUUUGUUCCCUGUUCUAUGUAGGACUGAAGCAACUACAGUUUGGUCUUCCUUAUUCUUAAGCUCUGAGAGUCUUCUUUAAACUACCACUCUAAACAUUCACAGUAGCAUCGAGGGGUUGUUCCUGAGUGCCAGGAUAAUAAUGACGUGAGACAGAAAAAAAAUCACAGCAUUUACUGUGGAGAUGAGUGGUCUCUACUUGUUGGGGCCUGAUUGAUCCUCUUAGGAAGUCAAUCUGGGUCUUUGAGGUGGUUCACUUUUAAAUUGUUUGAGAUCUAUUUUUAUUUUAUGUGCAUAAUAUUUUAACUUCAUCAUGCACGUGUACCAUGUGUGUGAUUGGUGCCCUUGGAAACUACAACAGGGCAUAGGAGCCCCUAUAAAAUGGAGUUACAGGCAGUUGUGAACUACCAUGUGGUUGCUGGGAAUAAAUCUAGAUCUUCUGCAACAGCAACAAGUGCCCCUAAGCCCUGUGCCAUCUCUCUGGCCUCCGUUUUAUAGUUUUACACGGUUGACACAGCAGCUUUCAUGUGUAGUGGACUUUUUCAUCUGUAAUGGACUUUAUUCCUGGGGCUCCUUUUCUCCUCAAACUAUACCUUUUGUAUUUUUCCUUUCUCAGCUUGCUACUUUUCAUUAUAGAUCUGCAUAAGAGUGAUCACUAACACCCACAUGACAGUCAAUACCAAGAUGUCUUGAAAUAUCUUCUGUCAAAAUCAUUAAUCCUAAACUCUUCAAUUUAGUCUUAGACAGUUUUUUCCCCCCAGGGGAGGGGAGGGCAGAGCCCAAAAGUAAAGACAUUCUUCAAAAAAAAAAUCACAAAGACAUUUUCUAGGACACUUCUCUGAAACCAAUUAUACCAGGCUGUGCUAAUCUAUAUUUCUCUAGGCACCACUGACUUCCAUGGUCUUGCUCCUAUGACCCAUUUCGCUUUGCUAAAAAUGUUCAACUUCUUUGCUAAUUCAAAGUUCAAAAGUCCACAUUCUGCCCAUAAGCAGGUUGGUCAGGCUUGUCACAGCAAUACCCCACUUCCAGGUACCAAGUUUUACCUUGGUUAGUGUGGUGGUUUGAAUAUGCUUGGCCUAGGGAGUGGCUUGGCUAUUAGGAGGUUUGGCCUUGUUGGAGCAAGUAUGGCCUGGUUGGAGGAAGUGUAUCACUGUGGGCGUGGGAUUUGAGACCUUUCUCCUAGCUGCCUUAGGGACAGUCUCCUCUUGGCUUCCUUUAGAUGAAGAUAUAGAGCUCUCACCUCCUCCUGCACCAUGCCUGCCUGGAUGCUGCCAUAUUCCCACCUUGAUGAUAAUGGACUGAGCGUCUGAACCUGUAAACCAACCCCAAUUAAAUGUUGUACUUUAUGAGAGUUGCCUUGGUCAUGAUGUCUGUUCACAGCAGCAAAACGAUAACUAAGACACUCAGUGUCCUAACUAAAACACAGUGACCAUUUAUUGGGGCUUGCUUACCUUCUCAGAGGUUUGGUCUUUUUUUUUCCUCCUCAGGGUAGGGAGCAUAGAGCUAACAGUCAGAUAUGGUAGUUGAGAGUUCUACAUCCCUACCUAAAGGCCACAAGAGGACAGAGACUAUGGGCUGCAAACUGGUUUUUCAAACUUCAGGGUAGCUCCAGUGACCGGCUUCCUCUGAUUUGGGUACAAUUACUCCAACAAAGCCACAGUACGAAUUUCAUUACACAUCUCUUGACAUGGAUUUCUCUGAGUCUUUUUACACACCUUUUACUAUGAGUUUUAGAGGUUCUAGAUUCUGUAUUUCAUCGAGCAUGGACUAGUCUCUAACCAGAUUCCUAUAACACACGGGCAUUAGCUCCAGAGAAUUCUGGUGGUUCACUGAUGACUAAAAGUCUUGUGCCCAAAGCAUGAGGGGAAUGCUGAGUUUACACUGUCAGCUUCACAACCAUGAGAACCUGAGCUGCUCCUUGGGCCUCCUAUAAAAGUGAUGGGCAUGGUGCUGUGUGCUUUCAUUCUUAGUACUAGCAAGGCAGAGGCAACUAUGCAUAACUUCAUUGUCCCCUACAGACCUCCACAGGCCCUGCAUGCACAUGGUACACAGAUAGAAGCACUGGCAAAUACUGUGCAAAUACAAUAAAAAUAAAUAAUCUCUGAGUCACUGGCAAGCCUGUCGUGUCAUCUUGGCCAGUCGCAAGCAUCGUAGAGACCUUGUCUAAUCAGUAUUACUGUGGCAUUUGUGUAAGAUGUUGUAAAAAUGUUUUUCUUACCAAAAUAUGGAGAUCAGUGUGCAAUACUUCCUUUUAAGACAUUUGCCAUCAUCAUCAUCAUCAUUUUUUAUUAGUGCAAAUAUUUGAAGUCAGGAAUGCUUUCUUUAAGUCACCUUCAUUACUCACUGUUCCUCAUUUAGCAAAGCAGUUUCCUUUAAUUAAACUUCUAAGUGGGUUUUCUUAC
Molecule: long non-coding RNA, 4535 nt
Filed under: Mus musculus (house mouse)
Lineage: Eukaryota; Metazoa; Chordata; Mammalia; Rodentia; Muridae
Description: predicted gene, 67564
Source: RNAcentral